RNAcentral lists this ribosomal RNA (786 nucleotides) under uncultured bacterium. RNAcentral describes it as "bacterial SSU rRNA". It matches the Rfam family "Bacterial small subunit ribosomal RNA", at positions 8 to 796 of the family's 1533-position model. The record is from RNAcentral.
AGAGUUUGAUCCUGGCUCAGGAUAAACGCUGGCGGCGUGCUUCAGGCAUGCAAGUCGAACGGUCCGGCUUCGGCCGGACAGUGGCGGACUGGUGAGUAACACGUAAGCAACCUGCCCGGAAGUGGGGAAUAACUUGCCGAAAGGCGAGCUAAUACCGCAUGUGGUGGCGGGCCCUCGGGCCUGUCACAAAAGGCUUUAGUCGCUUCCGGAGGGGCUUGCGGCCGAUUAGCUAGUUGGCGGGGUAAAGGCCCACCAAGGCGACGAUCAGUAGCCGGCCUGAGAGGGCGGUCGGCCACACUGGCACUGAAAUACGGGCCAGACUCCUACGGGAGGCAGCAGUGGGGAAUUUUGGGCAAUGGCCGAAAGGCUGACCCAGCAACGCCGCGUGAAGGAUGAAAUUUUUCGGAAUGUAAACUUCGUAAAUUAGGAAAGAAUAAGUUUGUACUAAUACUGCAAGCGAUGACGGUACCUAAUGUAAGCCCCGGCUAACUCCGUGCCAGCAGCCGCGGUAAUACGUAGGAAGCGAGCGUUAUCCGGAUUUAUUGGGCGUAAAGAGGGUGCAGGCGGCUUGGUAAGUCGGAUGUAAAAUCUCCUGGCUUAACUGGGAGGUACCAUUCGAUACUGCCGGGGCUCGAGUGCAGCAGGGGGAGGUGGAAUUCCCGGUGUAGUGGUGAAAUGCGUAGAUAUCGGGAGGAACACCAGUGGCGAAGGCGGCCUCCCAGGCUGCUACUGACGCUGAGGCCCGAAAGCGUGGGUAGCAAACAGGAUUAGAUACCCUGGUAGUCC